AUAAACAGGAGUUUGGCAAAGGAAACCUCCCAACCCUACCCUUGUCUGAGAGCACCUGGCUCCUCUGUGAUGCUUGGUUACUGUUUAAGCCUGAUCUAUGGAAUUUCUUAUUCCCUACUAUGAAAUCUCUGGUACCUCACACACUUGAAGAUAAGGGUGUCCAUAGAAGAGGUCAGAAGAACGCAACAUUUUUCAAUUGGAUUUUACCUUGUGCUAUCAAUAUUAUCCCCGAACAUCCUGCAUUACUGUGAAAGGUCUUUGAGAGAUGACUAGCAAAAUAAACUGUCCUAUGGUCAACUGAAUGCAUAAUCUUCAUUUCCAUGGGAAACAUGUUGGUGGUCUGCAAAGCUAAGAAAAUUGAAAAUCACUGCUUUUAAAGAGAGCCAAUGAUCCAGAGAGACAUAGACCCCCAGCAUAAGCAUGAGUCUUGGGACACCUGGUGCUUGGAAGCUGAAGUAUGGACAGAUGUAACAAUGCCUGGGGCAUUUUGUUUCAUUUUUCCUUCAUAAGGUGACUCGAGGAAUAGGUUGGCCACUGAAAACAAAUAUGGAUAUUCUCCAUAGGAGUGACAGAGAAAGUGUCCUAUGCCACCAGCAUCAUACUCAGGAGCUCUACAUGGGCUGGUCAGGAGCUGCUGGUGCAGGAAGGGAGAUGCCUUUUCUCUGACAUGGAGGUGCAAAAGGACUUGCCCCUAGGCACUGACUGAGAAGAACUCUACUGACCUCAGGAUUUAACGAAAGCCUACAAACUAGAGACCAGAAUUUGCUAUCUGUUAAGCAGGAAAGGAUGGUCAGCAUCCAGUUCCGCUCCAUAGCUUAGAAUCUGAUUGGCAAAUCUGUCUAGCUCCUGGAUACUUCUUGGGAACCAUGGUACUGCAAAACAGAAAAGAAAUAGAGACUGGUGAACCUGAUCCCCAGGAAAAGCUUCCCUCUGAGGAUGGAGCCUCUGAGCAGUCUGCCGGCAGCUGCUACAUGAGCUCCCCACAGUGCCUCGCUGACAUGGCUCAUCCUGGACCCCAACAGACCACCUAGGGGAUAAGAGGAUAACUCUGCCUCCUGGACUAUUCAGCCUUGCUCUUUCUGCUGCACUUCACAGCACAGAGGGCACUUGUGGUUCUGCGUUUCUGUGAAGCACCUGCAUCGAGGGGCUGGAGCAGCACAGGGAGCUCCUUGGGUGGCCACAGCUCAGCCCCACACAGACGGCUUGCUCCCCUGACCAGCUGUCCCACCUCCAGCCUGGAUCCAGCCAGCCUGGCUCCAUCCAACGCUUCUGCUGCGAGCCCUAAGUCUCAUUUCCAGCAGGCCGGGCAACACAGGCGGCUCUCCUGGCUCCGUAGCCCUUUCCUCUGUGCCUCCCCUUCUUCCUCCCAGCAAAAGUGGGCUUUGGUACCCCCUUUCAAGCUGCACAGCCUCCUGUUUUGCCCUAACAGACGGACCAGCACAAGUCACUAGAUGGCAGCAGCAGUCCGAGGAAAAUCUUUCUCAAGUGACUGAUGGGUUUAUUGCUAGCUCUCUAGUUUCCCCAGAAAUGCUCUCUCACCUUGCUGUUAGUAACCUUCCUGCACCUCCAGCCCCUCGAGUUAAAACAGUGGUGAGGGCGAUUAGAAAAAGGGGUGUCUGAGUCCUAGAGAGGAGUCAGUAGAGACAUACCUCAUGAAUGAUGAACCCACCCAACCCUCCUGCCCCUAUUUUCUGUAUACACAGCAGGGCACGGAGUUCAUCUCCCAGCUCUGGCAGUGGCCUUUACAUGAAGGUAGGGGGAUCGCUUCACUGCUUUGUGCUUCAGACUCACCACUGUCAGGGAAGCUGACAACCACUAUCAUCAGUGAAGCAUCCUGAUAAAUGUUUUGGGCACCAGAAAAAAAGCUGUCUGAGAGCCCACAGCAAAGCACUUGUCAGUGUUCAAGCGAGGAACCACUAUUCUCAGGGAAGCAUCAUGAUCUGAAGGGUCCAGACAAACCAGUGGAGGCUGAGGCCUGCAGUGGAUUUCAGCAAUGAUAACUAGGGAUUUGCUGCCCUGGGUCAAAAAGAUCUAGAUGGGCAGAGAUUGAAUCAUUCCAGCUUCAAGAAGCCAUAGAAUAGAUGUAUAAGAAUGAAUUGUUUUCAUUAAACAUAUUUUAUUCUUAAGCUUCCCAAAGCACUUGGUGCAGAGGUUGUGAUAAACUGGGGGACAGACUGAUGCCCAGGCUGAUGCAGUGUCAGUCUCAGGCAUGGAGAUGGGUGGCUUGCUUUUCCUCUACAUAGGUGCAGCAUCUUAUCUUUUAGGUGCAGAGCCUGUAUAGGUACUGGACCUAUUUUCAGCAGAUCUCUGCCCACCUCCCAGCCCCCCCAGACACUUGUGAUAGCUCAGGGAGUGCUGCUCUGAGCUCUGAGACCUGCUCUGGGUGAAACGGUGCAAGCUGUAAAAGGAUCGUGAAGAUGCUUUGUGCUAUUUGCACCAGCAUAGCUGGACUUAAGUCCUGAACAUUCUCAGCUCUUGUGGCAACAAGAAUCAAAGAUGCUGAGCACAGCCCUGGCCCAGCCACCAAGUCCAUACAACCCUGGCAACAGGCACCAGGGUGCAAAAGAGCUACUGCGUCCUCUGCGUAGCUGUGGUGUGCCAGGAGGCUGACCCCAGCCCCCACAGCAACUAUUGAAAAGAUCAAAUCAAAUUAUCCCCUGGCUGAAUCUCUCCCAUAUUUUGUUUGCGACAUCCUCCUCCAGCCCCGUUCGCCAGACUUGCUGUCUGUCUGCACGGCCAUUAAUGAAUUGCCAGAGCAAGCUGUUGCAACACUGGGCCUCUGUGAAGGUCCGAGGAGCAAAAGUGGGCUGAUCAGUAAUAAAUAUUGAUUUGUCUGUAACUGAAAUGGUAGCAUUUAUGGGAUUGUGCUGGACACCCAAGUGGUGACCAAAUUACCAUGGGGUCAAAUGCUUAGCAGAAUGCUAAUAAGCCAUUUAUAUGAGGGGCAGCAAAACAGGGGCAGUGAGGACUUCUGUAGAGCUCCUCCAUUUGGACCAUUGUGAGGAGGGUCAAAGACAGGUCUAUGCAAUUUAUAGCAGUUCAAGGCCCAGGUUUAGCCCUUUUUUAAACAGUCCCAAAUGCUUUGGCCAGCCUCAGGGUUUAGCAAACAAGGACCCUACAGAACGUCAGCCUCCAGUCUGUCUCAGAAAUGCAAUAAAUUGUCUGCAUUUGCCUAAUGCUGCAACAGAAUAAUAUUUAAUUAUUUUUAUUCAUGGGCUCCAAGAGGUCUGCAGAUAUCUAGCUUGUUUCCAAAAAGAGCCAUGAAGAGAUGCACUGUGUUUUCAGAACAAAUCUUUCCAUCUCUACAAAAGGUUUUUGGCCCAGUGACUGCUAGACCACCUCAACUUGAGUUCUGAAAUUACCUUUGGAUUUAUGGCAUUUUGCUGGCCUGCUCAUAGCUAAAAUUACACUGUCAAUC
This is a long non-coding RNA of Cygnus olor (mute swan), 3418 nucleotides long. RefSeq lists it as uncharacterized. The record is from RefSeq and is a predicted model, not a curated record. NCBI's taxonomy places the organism in Eukaryota, Metazoa, Chordata, Aves, Anseriformes, Anatidae. The transcript has 7 exons.